Molecule: ribosomal RNA, 119 nt
Filed under: Pteropus alecto (black flying fox)
Lineage: Eukaryota; Metazoa; Chordata; Mammalia; Chiroptera; Pteropodidae
Source: RNAcentral
GUCUACGACCAUGCCACCCUGAACGUGCCCAAUCGCAUAUGAUCUCGGAAGCCUAGCAGGGUCGGGCCUGGUUAGUGUUUGGAUGGGAGACCACCUAGGAAUACUAGGUGCUGUAGGUG